UCAAGAACAUUUGACAAUGGGCGAAAGCCUGAUCAAGCGACGCCGCGUGCAGGAAGAAGGCCUUCGGGUUGUAAACUGCGGUAGUUAGGGAACAAAUUAUUGAGCGUACCUAACGGAAAGAGGUGGGUAACUACGUGCCAGCACCAGCGGUAAUACGUAGACCUCAAGCGUUAUCCGGAUUUAUUGGGCGUAAAGAGCAUGUAGGAGGCCUGAUGCGUCUCUGGUUAAAGCCCACUGCCUAACAGUGGAAUCGCCAGGGAAACGAUCGGGCUGGAGGAGAUAAGAGGCUGACGGAACGCACGGUGUAGGGGUGAAAUCCGUUGAUAUCGUGCGGAACACCAAAGGCGAAGGCAGUCAGCUGGGAUCUUCCUGACUCUGAGAUGCGAAAGCGUGGGGAGCAAAAAGGAUUAGAUACCCCUGUAGUCC
Molecule: ribosomal RNA, 426 nt
Filed under: uncultured bacterium
Lineage: Bacteria
Description: bacterial SSU rRNA
Rfam family: Bacterial small subunit ribosomal RNA
Source: RNAcentral